UACGUAGGUGGCAAGCGUUGUCCGGAAUUAUUGGGCGUAAAGCGCGCGCAGGUGGUGGAUUAAGUUGUGGGUAAAAGACAUUGGCUCAACCAAUGUAAGCCUGCAAAACUGGUUCACUUGAGUGCAGGAGAGGGGAGUGGAAUUCCCGGUGUAGCGGUGGAAUGCGUAGAUAUCGGGAGGAACACCAGUGGCGAAGGCGACUCUCUGGCCUGUAACUGACACUGAGGCGCGAAAGCGUGGGUAGCGAACAGG
RNAcentral lists this ribosomal RNA (252 nucleotides) under uncultured bacterium. Its description in RNAcentral is "partial 16S ribosomal RNA". It matches the Rfam family "Bacterial small subunit ribosomal RNA", at positions 524 to 776 of the family's 1533-position model. The record is from RNAcentral.